GCCUACGGGGGGCAGCAGUAGGGAAUCUUCCACAAUGGGCGAAAGCCUGAUGGAGCAACGCCGCGUGGGUGAAGAAGGUCUUCGGAUCGUAAAACCCUGUUGUUAGAGAAGAAAGUGCGUGAGAGUAACUGUUCACGUUUCGACGGUAUCUAACCAGAAAGCCACGGCUAACCACGUGCCAGCAGCCGCGGUAAUACGUAGGUGGCAAGCGUUAUCCGGAUUUAUUGGGCGUAAAGGGAACGCAGGCGGUCUUUUAAGUCUGAUGUGAAAGCCUUCGGCUUAACCGGAGUAGUGCAUUGGAAACU
This 305-nucleotide ribosomal RNA is filed under the name uncultured bacterium. RNAcentral describes it as "bacterial SSU rRNA". It matches the Rfam family "Bacterial small subunit ribosomal RNA", at positions 337 to 634 of the family's 1533-position model. The record is from RNAcentral.